AUGCGUUCCAGUAUGAGACCAAGGCCAGUUCCAGUAUCAGCUCCGUCGUUCUCUACUGGAAAAGGUGAGGCCGAAGGCAGCGACCCCACAGGGAGACUCCUGGCUGGGGUCUGCAGAGAGCCACUCCCUCUGGUCCGGUUGCCUGUAGUCAAGGCCACGUGGUCAGUGGCUAUGAGCAAUGGUCGGCACCACGAGGUCAGUGCCGCGUGGUCAUUCGGCUGGACUCUCCCCACCUGGCCCCACCUCCCGCCACCGGCACAGCUCUCCCACAGGGAAGGCACGGUGCUGGGCUUCCGGGUCCACACGAUGCUGCAGACCGACCUCCUGCAGGCCGCGCUGGUCACCGGCUACAACUACUCCCAGAGGUGCAGCGCCUUCUACCACCUGCCUCCCCGCCGGCCUCCCUGCGAAGGAUCUGCCACCUCGACGUCUGCAGAGGUGCCGAAGGUGCGCGGGCGGGAGCGCUGGGCCGCGGGGCUCGGGGUCCCCGGCUCUGGGCGGGGUGUCGCACACAAACAGGUAAAGGCCCAAGAGCACGGGACGGGCAGAGGCCAGAGGAGACCCGGGGCCCGCCAGGCGUGGCCAUAGCCCUGGGGUGGGGGGAAUAAAAGUGGCAAAGAAAAACGACAAAAAGAAAGCAAGAUGGACAGAGAGGGACGGAAAGAAGGAAGCAGGAGGAGGAGGACCGAUGGGGAGGCCCUGCGGCUCCCGAAGCCCAGACCCAGAGCAGCCCGCCCCCGAGGAAGGACGGAGGGAGGCUGAGGCAGGAGGAGCUCCAGGCGGCCGCGUGCGAGGCGGUCGUGGACUUCGGUAAGGUGGAGCCACCCGGUCGGGUGACAGCGGGCUGGGAGCCAGAGGCGACGCCAUGCCCUCCGCCCUGCCUUCCCCAGUGUAUAAGGCCAAGCUGGAGGCCGUGGAGGCCGCUGGGUCGAGCCCUUACCUCUACUACCACAUGCAGCUGCAGGCCGUCAUCAAGAGCGGUGAGGCCCAGGACUGGCCAAGCGGGCGGGAGGCCCUGGGCGCCAUCCCCAGCCCUGAGGGAUGGGGGGCUGGAUGUCCCAGGUGUCUGGAAGGGGGGAAGGGCAUGUGGCUCUCUGGGUCCCAGCACGAGGGAGGGCCUGGUCUGCACAUGCGCUCACAUCAGGUCUCUUCCAGGCCCGGACCCUGCUCUGCCCCUCAGAGUGAAGAAAUUUGUCACCCAGGCCACCUGCUAUGACUCCUUGGGGUUGCGAGAACAGGGGUCUUACGUCAUCCUGGGCCAGACGUCAGACCUGUGGAGAGUCAAGUCUGGGUGGUAGGAGACUCGGUGGCCCAGGGACUCAGGCCGAGAUGCCCCGCCCCCACUCCAGCCUGCCCUGGGUUUCCCCAUUUCUGCUGGAUGUCAGCAGGAGGUCUGGGACGGGAGGGCCACCCUGAACCUAGUGCAGGUCUCGCACUGAGUGACUUCAGGAAAGCUCAUUCACAAGAGGACCGCGUGACCAUGACCUCUGUUUCCCCGGGAGGGCAGAGAAGGGCCAGAGGGCCGGGCACUGUGUGGCCUUGUUUUCCUAAUCCUCAGUCAUAUGGGAAAAGGCUGGAGAUCCGGAGCUGAGACCCUCGAAGGCUGCCAACCAUGGCAGAAGGAAAAGGGGGGGAGGUCCCCAACCCCCAGGACACCAGACUCUCCUUACGGGUCUUGCUGUCCCCGACAGAUACAGCUAAGCGCCGGGCAAAAAGACGUUCCUCAUGCUUUGGCCAAGCCAUGGGGACAGGGGCAAGAAGGACUUGCUAGCACAGUGGAGGGGUUCUCAGAACACCUGAGCGCCCACGGCUGUGAUCCUGAGGCCCAAAGGCCUCUGCUGCUCCCGGGAAGGUGUCUCUAAGAAACUUUGGGUCACAGGGUUCAGCCCCAAAUAAAGAGCACCAAGUUCAGUAUGCAGAUGGCAGACGUGUGUCCUGUUCCCCCCCCCACGC
This 1953-nucleotide long non-coding RNA is filed under the name Ictidomys tridecemlineatus (thirteen-lined ground squirrel). RNAcentral describes it as "lncRNA (ENSSTOG00000031199.1)". Lineage: Eukaryota; Metazoa; Chordata; Mammalia; Rodentia; Sciuridae. The record is from RNAcentral.